Long non-coding RNA from Aegilops tauschii subsp. strangulata, 339 nucleotides. RefSeq lists it as uncharacterized. The record is from RefSeq and is a predicted model, not a curated record. NCBI's taxonomy places the organism in Eukaryota, Viridiplantae, Streptophyta, Magnoliopsida, Poales, Poaceae.
CUCCAUCGUGAUAUUCUGACGCUCUAUCUAAGUUACCGUCGUCGUUAGUCGUUUACGUGGCCACUGGCCAGGCCUGGCCUCGAGACUUUGUCCAUCGGGAUCACCGUGACGUCUUCGCUAUCUUCAUUGAUCUUAUCGGCCGGAGCUGCCCCGAGUCGUCCCCUCGAUAUCAUCUUCCCCGCUGGCCACCGAGGAUCGCCAUCGCGGACGCACCCUCGAACUUGCUGAGCUACCCGUCUCCUUGAUUAGGCUGCUUCCCUUCACAAGAUUUCAUGGUAGCAUCAUGCUUCGAUGGUUGAGAGCUUGAACCAAGUCGUUUGAAACAUUUAUGUAUCGAUU